AUUGAACGCUGGCGGCAUGCUUUACACAUGCAAGUCGAACGGCAGCACGGUCUUCGCCCUCUCUUCCAGGUGCCGACGGGUGGGUGAUAGAUCGAUACGUCCCCAUUUGCUUUUUCUAGCGCGGCGAAGUCGGGAUUAAUACGCCAUUCCACCAUACGGCCUACGCGUGGGAUCUGCGGACCUUCCGCCCUUGCACCGUCCGAUGAGCCGAUGUCGGAUUAGCUAGUUGGCGGGGUAAAGGCCCACCAAGGCGACGCUCCGGAGCUGGGCUGAGAGGAUGAUCAGCCACACUGGAACUGAGACACGGUCCAGACUCCUACGGGAGGCAGCAGUGGGGAAUAUUGGACAAUGGGCGCAAGCCUGAUCCAGCCAUACCGCGUGGGUGAAGAAGGCCUUCGGGUUGUAAAGCCCUUUUGUUGGGAAAGAAAAGCAGCAGGUUAAUACCCCGGUUUGCUGACGGUACCCGAAGAAUAAGCACCGGCUAACUUCGUG
Molecule: ribosomal RNA, 492 nt
Filed under: uncultured bacterium
Lineage: Bacteria
Description: partial 16S ribosomal RNA
Rfam family: Bacterial small subunit ribosomal RNA
Source: RNAcentral